This 3621-nucleotide long non-coding RNA is filed under the name Coffea arabica (coffee). RNAcentral describes it as "long non-coding RNA (CARA_LNC004497)". Lineage: Eukaryota; Viridiplantae; Streptophyta; Magnoliopsida; Gentianales; Rubiaceae. The record is from RNAcentral.
GUCCAAUACUCAAGCAAUGGCACCCUCUUGCAACUGGUGUUGCAGCAGCAAAGCUUCAUGCUUGUUACGGAAAUGAGCUGAAGCAAUUUGUUUCUGGUAUAACAGAGCUGACUCCUGAUGCUGUACUAGUGCUGAUAGCUUCUGACAAAUUGGAAAAAAAUCUUGUACAGAUGGCCGUUGCAGAUUCCGUGGACAGUGAUGAUGGUGGGAAAGCAAUAAUUCAAGAGAUGACUCCUUAUGAAGCUGAAUCUGUCAUUGCUAACCUGGUAAAAUCAUGGAUAAAGACAAGGGUGGAUAGACUCCAGGAAUGGGUUGAGAGAAAUCUGCAACAAGAGGUCUUUAAUCUCUCGUUCAUUUUAUGACUCCAUGUCUCUGUUUGAUUGGCAUCAUUAGUUAUCGUUAGCUUGUUGAUCACAUCCUGGCACUAAAAUUAAAUUCUCCACAAAAAAUUCUAAUUGUCGAGGGACUAUGUGAUGGUUAGUCAGAUGGCUUAGUCUAUAUGUGAUUCAUUUGGGCUACUUUUCUUGUGCAAGGAUGUCUUGUCUUUGUCUGGUUUCUUCUUUACUUGUUUGAUGUUAGCUGCGUUUUGAUGCACAAAUUUUAUACGUUAUACUCCUAAGCACAUGGGAGUGAGUAAUUGCAUUACAGACAGAUAAAAAGGAACAGCUGCAUGGAUGAAAUUUCCCUUGUGCCUCCACUCCUAGCAUUCAUUAUAAGAAGAUGUAAGUUAGGAUGUUGAUUUAGGACAAGGUAUACGUGGUACCGUCAAAUUGAGUUUUUGUAUCCUCACCAAAUUUGGUUCAGAGUACCCAACUUCCCUUAUCCUGAUCCCCAGGGCAGAAAAAAGGAAAAAAGUAAUGGCUCAUUGUAGGUUCGUUUCUCAAUAGUUAAAGAGAUUCUGUCGUUGAAAAAUGAAACAUCUGGUUAGCCAGAACGGACUUAAGAUUAUUUGCCUCUUGUAACAGGUCUGGAACCCUCGUGCAAACAAAGAGCGAUUUGCUCCCUCUGCAGUGGAGGUUCUUCGCAUUAUUGAUGAAACUUUGGAUGCAUUUUUCCUGUUGCCAAUAGCAACACAUCAAAUUUUGAUUCCUGAUUUGAUGAAUGGUUUGGAUGCCUGCCUCCAGAAUUACAUAAUAAAGUCAAAAUCUGGCUGUGGUAAGUAUCAUAUAGGCUGGAAAAAGGUAUCUGAAUUAACCAAUCAAAUUAUUUCUUUCUGAAUUUAAUUUAUACAUGUAUCUGCAGGAUCUAAAGAUACUUUUCUUCCUCCUCUACCUGCUUUGACAAGAUGUACUGCUGGCUCAAAGUUUGGUGUAUUUAAGAAGAAAGAUAGAUCAUAUAUGGUUCAAGUAAGGAAAUCUCAAGUUGGCUCUAGUGAUGUGGAUGACUACUUUGGUAUACCAAAGCUAUGUGUUCGCAUAAAUACCAUGCAUCUCAUCCGGAAAGAGGUGGAAGUCUUGGAGAAGAGGAUAACCUCUAAUUUGACAAAUAGUGGUUAUGUUCAAGAUAGUAUUGUGACAGUUGGGUCAGAUAAAAUGUUUGAGCUUUCAGUAGCAGCUUGUGUGGAGGGGAUCCAGCAACUUUCUGAAGCAACUGCCUAUAGGAUCAUCUUUCACAAUCUGAACCAUGUUUCUUGGGAUUACCUGUAUGUGGGGCAGGUCUCAUCAGCCAGGAUUGAACCAUUUCUUCAACAGCUAGAGCAGAAUUUAGAAAUUGUAUCAGCAACGGUGCAUGACAGGGUCCGGACUCGCGUAAUUACACAAAUAAUGAAAGCCUCUUUUGAUGGGUUCUUGUUGGUUUUGCUUGCUGGGGGCCCUUCUCGUGCUUUCACUGUGCAGGAUGCUGCAGUAUUAGAUGAGGACUUUAGGUUUCUUAUGGAGCUAUUCUGGUCCGAUGGGGAUGGAUUACCGACUGAUUUAAUAGACAAGUAUUCAGCCGCUUCAAAGGACGUCCUUUCACUUUUUCAUACUGAAACUGUAAAACUUGUUGAGCAAUACAAAAUUGUGACUCUUAAUAGGUAUGGAGCUUCAGACAAUUCCAGGCUUCCACUACCACCAACUUCAGGUCAGUGGAGCGCUGCUGACCCUAACACAAUUCUUCGAGUUUUAUGUCAUCGAAAUGAUGAGGUAGCUACAAAGUUUUUAAAGAAGACCUAUCAUUUCCCAAAGAAGCUGUGAGAGAGAUUUCAAGGAGGUGAUGCAAAUGUAGAAUUUUACCAGGCAUCAGCAGUUCCUCUUAUUUACUUGUAAUGGACCGUUAUUGACAUCGAUCGACCUCACUACUAUAAGAAGCAGAUUUUUCUUGCAUAGAGUAUCCAUGGGAGAUUCUUUCUCAUCAAAGCAAUUACCACAUAGAUCCUAACAGAAUCUUCCAUCGAUAGAAUCAUGGGGCUUGCUCUUUGGUAUAUUGUAUAUAAGAGUUCGGACUUCCAGUUUCAGACAAUAUUUGAAGUCCUCGACUGCUGCUGAGACGACGGAAGAUAACUGCACAAGCUGGUAACACAGUUUUAUCUCCUAAAUCGCAAGUCUAUCACCUUACUGAGCUUUGCCUAGAAAGGAAGUUCAAAUUUGCUGUACAGAGAGAGAUGUUACAACGCAGGUUGGAUUUUGACUUGUUUUUAUAGUCUACAUGUGGAACUUGCUUGAAGAAGAAAUUUUUAUGCCAUAUGCAUUUACUAAGGGUCUGUUUGAUAACAUAAAAAAGUGCUGAAUCUGAAUUGUUUCAGACAUUCAGAUGUUUUGAGUAUUUGAUAAAUGAAAAUCUAUUUGUUGAACUUGUUAAGCAGUGCUGAACCUGUGUGUAUUUUUUUCAGCACAAGAGUCCUAACUGAAUGCUUAAUUCUGAUAAGAAUCAAUAGAAUUACUUCAACUACCUUAUCUUAUCUACCAAAUCUACCCUUGUUUGUUAAUUAUGUUCAAAAUUCUUAUUUAAUUAAACAACCUAAUAUUCUCUAUCUAACGAUUUUUUGUUUCUUUUUCUCCUUUUUUAAUGACUUUCACAUCUUCUCCAUACUCCUCAUAUAAUAUAUUUCAUCUUUUAUAUUAAUUUGAUUUAAAAAUAAAUAUUGUCAUUUUCAUACCUAACAAAUUUAAACUAAUUAAAUCAUAGAUUCUAUUUCUUUUUUGAAUGAAAGGAUAUAAGGGCAAAAUUGUCAAAUUAAACUUAUUAAGCAUUCAGCUAUAAAUAUUUAUCAAACAGUAUAAAUAGGUUUAGCACUAAAAUUCAGACAUUCAUAUAUUUUUUUCAGUGCUUAAAAUUCAGCAAAUUAAUUGUUUCAGUAUUCAGAUUUCAGAAUUCAAACUUCAGAAUUCAGAUUCAGUUUUAUCAAACGUAACCUAAGAAAUAUUCUAGAGUUACUGAGGCUUGCUGAAUAAAUGGACCGACCAAUGCUUGCUAUCAUUCUUUGAUUUUGUGGUUCAAGUCGUUCUCAGUUCAAAGGGUAUGAAUACUGAAUAGUUGAUGAUGAAAUGGAAGACUGCCGUUGUUGUUGGUGUUGCUGUUGUCAUACUCUGUCCCUUCGGCUUAUUUCCUUGUUCUUCCUGUCCUACAAACUUCUUCGUUGAUACUCCCUUUGUAUUGUUAGGGAAAGGUAUUGUUUUGAGUGAAGCUUACAAUUUCUCGCCU